This 585-nucleotide ribosomal RNA is filed under the name uncultured bacterium. RNAcentral's name for it is "partial 16S ribosomal RNA". It matches the Rfam family "Bacterial small subunit ribosomal RNA", at positions 355 to 1375 of the family's 1533-position model. The record is from RNAcentral.
UGGGGAAUUUUGGACAAUGGGCGAAAGCCUGAUCCAGCAAUGCCGCGUGUGUGAAGAAGGCCUUCGGGUUGUAAAGCACUUUUGUCCGGAAAGAAAUCCUUGGCUCUAAUACAGUCGGGGGAUGACGGUACCGGAAGAAUAAGCACCGGCUAACUACGUGCCAGCAGCCGCGGUAAUACGUAGGGUGCAAGCGUUAAUCGGAAUUACUGGGCGUAAAGCGUGCGCAGGCGGUUUGCUAAGACCGAUGUGAAAUCCCCGGGCUCAACCUGGGAACUGCAUUGGUGACUGGCAGGCUAGAGUAUGGCAGAGGGGGGUAGAAUUCCACGUGUAGCAGUGAAAUGCGUAGAGAUGUGGAGGAAUACCGAUGGUGAAGGCAGCCCCCUGGGCCAAUACUGACGCUCAUGCACGAAAGCGUGGGGAGCAAACAGGAUUAGAUACCCUGGUAGUCCACGCCCUAAACGAUGUCAACUAGUUGUUGGGGAUUCAUUUCCUUAGUAACGUAGCUAACGCGUGAAGUUGACCGCCUGGGGAGUACGGUCGCAAGAUUAAAACUUAAAUGAAUUGACGGGGUCAUAGCUGUUUCCU